AUACGUAGGUGACAAGCGUUAUCCGGAUUUACUGGGCGUAAAGGGCGUGUAGGCGGUCUUGCAAGUCAGAAGUGAAAUUCCUGAGCUCAACUCGGGCGCUGCUUCUGAAACUGCAGGACUUGAGUGCUGGAGGGGAUAGCGGAAUUCCUAGUGGGGCGGUAAAAUGGGCAGAUAUUAGGAAGAACACCGGUGGCGAAGGCGGGUAUCUGGGCAGUAACUGACGCUGAGGCGCGAAAGCGUGGGGAGCGAACAGGAUUAGAUACCCUGGUAGUCCACGCUGUAAACGAUGGGUGCUAGGUGUGGGGGGUAUCAGCCCCCUCCGUGCCGAAGUUAACGCAAUAAGCGUCCCGCCUGGGGAGUACGGCCGCAAGGUUGAAACUCAAAGGAAUUGACGGGG
RNAcentral lists this ribosomal RNA (397 nucleotides) under uncultured bacterium. RNAcentral describes it as "partial 16S ribosomal RNA". It matches the Rfam family "Bacterial small subunit ribosomal RNA", at positions 523 to 918 of the family's 1533-position model. The record is from RNAcentral.